UAUAGCCUGAGGCACUAGGUGUUAUAGGCGUAUGGUGGCAACUGCCUCUUAGCAUUGUGUCAAUGGGGAAAUGCGCAGCAAAUGUAAAUAUUAAACAAUGUAGCCUUAUCAUUGUGACCAAUUUAAUAUUGUAGCUAUGUUCUUGUGUAUCAUGGGAGCACACUUUUACGCUUUCCUCCUUCAGUAUAAUCUUUGUCUCCAAGUGCUACAUUCCAAUGUAUCGUUGGAGGUAGUAAUAUUGUUAAUAAUUAAGUCGAUAUAUUAUUUUAACUGUUGCAAAUUAUUUUAUUAUCUGAAGAUUUUUUAUAGUAACAUGCUUACUAUCAAUCGAUAAAGGUCUUGUCAACAUCAAAACUAUAUACCAUGACAAAACAUUUAUUUUAUUCUGUUUCCAAAGUGCCAAUCAUUUCAUUACCAAAAUGCAUGUGCCAUAUACUUCCACUAAUUAUUUGACCUAUGGUCAUUUCUUGUCCUAUGUCUUACAGUAUAUGUAUAAUAUCCUGUCUCUGUCUUACAGUAUAUGUAUAAUGUCCUGUAGGUGGUGCCUUCUACCCUACAGUGCUAUUGUCCUCUGUCUUACAGUAUAUGUAUAAUGUCCUGUAGGUGGUGCCUUCUACCCUACAGUGUUAUUGUCCUCUGUCUUACAGUAUAUGUAUAAUGUCCUGUAGGUGGUGCCUUCUACCCUUCAGUGUUAUUGUCCUCUGUCUUACAGUAUAUGUAUAAUGUCCUGUAGGUGGUGCCUUAUACCCUACAGUGUUAUUGUCCUCUGUCUUACAGUAUAUGUAUAAUGUCCUGUAGGUGGUGCCUUCUACCCUUCAGUGUUAUUGUCCUCUGUCUUACAGUAUAUGUAUAAUGUCCUGUAGGUGGUGCCUUAUACCCUACAGUGUUAUUGUCCUCUGUCUUACAGUAUAUAUAUAAUGUCCUGUAGGUGGUGCCUUCUACCCUACAGUGUUAUUGUCCUCUGUCUUACAGUAUAUGUAUAAUGUCCUAUAGGUGGUGCCUUCUACCCUUCAGUGUUAUUGUCCUCUGUCUUACAGUAUAUAUAUAAUGUCCUGUAGGUGGUGCCUUAUACCCUACAGUGUUAUUGUCCUCUGUCUUACAGUAUAUGUAUAAUGUCCUAUAGGUGGUGCCUUCUACCCUUCAGUGUUAUUGUCCUCUGCCUUACAGUAUCAGUAUAAUGUCCUGUAGGUGGUGCCUUCUACCCUACAGUGUUAUUGUCCUCUGUCUUACAGUAUAUGUAUAAUGUCCUGUAGGUGGUGCCUUCUAUCCUACAGUGUUAUUGUCCUCUGUCUUAGAGUAUAUGUAUAAUGUCCUGUAGGUGGUGCCUUAUACCCUACAGUGUUAUUGUACUCUGUCUUACAGUAUAUAUAUAAUGUCCUGUAGGUGGUGCCUUAUACCCUACAGUGUUAUUGUCCUCUGCCUUACAGUAUAUGUAUAAUGUCCUGUAGGUGGUGCCUUCUACCCUACAGUGUUAUUGUCCUCUGUCUUACAGUAUAUAUAUAAUGUCCUGUAGGUGGUGCCUUAUACCCUACAGUGUUAUUGUCCUCUGUCUUACAGUAUAUGUAUAAUGUCCUGUAGGUGGUGCCUUAUACCCUACAGUGUUAUUGUCCUCUGUCUUACAGUAUAUAUAUAAUGUCCUGUAGGUGGUGCCUUCUACCCUACAGUGUUAUUGUCCUAUGUCUUACAGUAUAUGUAUAAUGUCCUGUAGGUGGUGCCUUAUACCCUACAGUGUUAUUGUCCUCUGUCUUACAGUAUAUGUAUACUGUCCUGUGGGUGGUGCCUUAUACCCUACAGUGUUAUUGUCCUCUGUCUUACAGUAUAUGUAUAAUGUCCUGUAGGUGGUGCCUUAUACCCUACAGUGUUAUUGUCCUAUGUCUUACAGUAUAUGUAUAAUGUCCUGUAGGUGGUGCCUUAUACCCUACAGUGUUACUAUCCUCUGUCUUACAGUAUAUGUAUAAUGUCCUGUAGGCGGUGCCUUCUACCCUACAGUGUUAUUGUCCUCUGUCUUACAGUAUAUGUAUAAUGUCCUGUAGGUGGUGCCUUCUACCCUACAGUGUUAUUGUCCUCUGUCUUACAGUAUAUGUAUAAUAUCCUGUAGGUGGUGCCUUCUACCCUACAGUGUUAUUGUCCUCUGUCUUACAGUAUAUGUAUAAUAUCCUGUAGGUGGUGCCUUCUACCCUACAGUGUUAUUGUCCUCUGUCUUACAGUAUAUGUAUAAUAUCCUGUAGGUGGUGCCUUAUACCCUACAGUGUUAUUGUCCUCUGUCUUACAGUAUAUGUAUAAUAUCCUGUAGGUGGUGCCUUCUACCCUACAGUGUUAUUGUCCUCUGUCUUACAGUAUAUAUAUAAUGUCCUGUAGGUGGUGCCUUCUACCCUACAGUGUUAUUGUCCUCUGUCUUACAGUAUAUAUAUAAUGUCCUGUAGGUGGUGCCUUAUACCCUACAGUGUUAUUGUCCUCUGUCUUACAGUAUAUGUAUAAUGUCCUGUAGGUGGUGCCUUCUAUCCUACAGUGUUAUUGUCCUCUGUCUUACAGUAUAUAUAUAAUGUCCUGUAGGUGGUGCCUUAUACCCUACAGUGUUAUUGUCCUCUGUCUUACAGCAUAAUAUCCUGUAGGUGGUGCCUUCUACCCUAUAGUGUUAUUGUCCUCUGUCUUACAGCAUAAUAUCCUGUAGGUGGUGCCUUAUACCCUACAGUGUUAUUGUCCUCUGUCUUACAGCAUAAUGUCCUGUAGGUGGUGCCUUCUACCCUAGUGUUAUUGUCCUCUGUCUUACAGUAUAUAUAUAAUGUCCUGUCUCUGUCUUACAGUAUCUGUAUAAUGUCCUGUCUCUGUCUUACAGUAUAUGUAUAAUAUCCUGUAGGUGGUGCCUUCUACCCUACAGUGCUAUUGUCCUCUGUCUUACAGUAUAUGUAUAAUAUCCUGUAGGUGGUGCCUUAUACCCUACAGUGUUAUUGUCCUCUGUCUUACAGUAUAUGUAUAAUGUCCUGUAGGUGGUGCCUUAUACCCUACAGUGUUAUUGUCCUCUGUCUUACAGUAUAUGUAUAAUGUCCUGUAGGUGGUGCCUUCUACCCUACAGUGCUAUUGUCCUCUGUCUUACAGUAUAUGUAUAAUGUCCUGUCUCUGUCUUACAGUAUAUGUAUAAUGUCCUGUAGGUGGUGCCUUAUACCCUACAGUGCUAUUGUCCUCUGUCUUACAGUAUAUGUAUAAUGUCCUGUAGGUGGUGCCUUCUACCCUACAGUGCUAUUGUCCUCUGCCUUACAGUAUAUGUAUAAUGUCCUGUAGGUGGUGCCUUAUACCCUACAGUGUUAUUGUCCUCUGUCUUAUAGUAUAUAUAUAAUGUCCUGUAGGUGGUGCCUUCUACCCUACAGUGUUAUUGUCCUCUGUCUUACAGUAUAUGUAUAAUGUCCUGUAGGUGGUGCCUUCUACCCUACAGUGUUAUUGUCCUCUGUCUUACAGUAUAUAUAUAAUGUCCUGUAGGUGGUGCCUUCUACCCUACAGUGUUAUUGUCCUCUGUCUUACAGUAUAUGUAUAAUGUCCUGUAGGUGGUGCCUUCUACCCUUCAGUGUUAUUGUCCUCUGUCUUACAGUAUAAUGUCCUGUAGGUGGUGCCUUAUACCCUACAGUGCUAUUGUCCUCUGUCUUACAGUAUAUAUAUAAUGUCCUGUAGGUGGUGCCUUAUACCCUACAGUGUUAUUGUCCUCUGUCUUACAGUAUAUGUAUAAUGUACUGUAGGUGGUGCCUUCUACCCUUCAGUGUUAUUGUCCUAUGUCUUACAGUAUAUGUAUAAUGUCCUGUAGGUGGUGCCUUCUACCCUACAGUGUUAUUGUCCUCUGUCUUACAGUAUAAUGUCCUGUAGGUGGUGCCUUCUACCCUUCAGUGUUAUUGUCCUCUGUCUUACAGUAUAUAUAUAAUAUCCUGUAGGUGGUGCCUUCUACCCUACAGUGUUAUUGUUCUCUUUUACUAUCUAUGUGUUCUUGAAGUAUCAGUAAUGUCCGACACUUUAUUUUGAUGUACAUGCUUAUUUUACCCGAUUUUAUAUGCAGGUUAAAAGCCUUUAUGUCCACGUUAAAUAUAUACGUUCAUAUGUGUAAGCUGAUGAGAUUUGUAAGGACAUUUUUAUUAAAAUCAAUUUUGUUA
Long non-coding RNA from Pecten maximus, 4133 nucleotides. RefSeq lists it as uncharacterized. The record is from RefSeq and is a predicted model, not a curated record. Lineage: Eukaryota; Metazoa; Mollusca; Bivalvia; Pectinida; Pectinidae. The transcript is spliced from 3 exons.